This 903-nucleotide ribosomal RNA is filed under the name Triticum aestivum (bread wheat). RNAcentral describes it as "partial small subunit ribosomal RNA". Lineage: Eukaryota; Viridiplantae; Streptophyta; Magnoliopsida; Poales; Poaceae. The record is from RNAcentral.
AUGAUGGAAAAGACUAAUCAGCACAUUAUACGUCAACAAGGGGCACGGCCCAGCGGCACACAUGAUACGUGCCACCCUUAUUUUCACAACACCUUAUACGUGUAUCAACAGCACACGCUAAUGGCCAGUCAUCUAGUUCUCCGCGACGAUGAUUUCCGGCUGUGCGUCGGCGUCGGCGUCGACCAUUGCGGGCUGGCAGAAGACGACCUUGAGCUCGCCGGGCGCGUAGCAGUGCUGCUCCACGGGCUCCCUGUCGACCGGCGUCGUCCGCGUCAGCGGGCACCGCUGCUUGAAGUACCCGGGUGGCCCAUUGCACGCGACCACGCAGCCGCCCGCGCCCACCACGCGCUGCGCCGGCGGGCACCCGGCGUUCAGGUCCGCCGCGCACCCCAGGGCCGGGCACGGCCCGUCGCCGCCGAUGGCCUGCGGGCUCACCACCACCGGCACGUUGAACCCGUCCACCAGGCUCACGCUGUACACCGCCAGGUCCGGCCGCGGCGCGCCCUCGGCCGAGUGCACGGUCAGCUGCACCACGCCCGCGGGCCGCUCGCUCCCCGUCUCGCACCGCGGCGGGGACGCGCAGCCGGUGCGCGCCACCAGCUUCCCGGACCAGAAGAUCGGCGGGAAGGUGAAGGAGACGAGCCCGUGGCCGUUGCCCUCGAGGCGGAUGUUGUUGUCGCAGAUGGAGGGGAAGCCCCUGUUGGGGGUCACCAGCGGCCACACGGGGUACGGGCACAGGUUGUGCAGGGUCAGCGUGGUGCCGGCCGCCGGUGCCGCCAGGAAGGCGGCGGCCAGCAGGGUGCCGAUCACGAGGCGCUCGCCCAUGCCAGCCAUAGUCUCUGCGCUACUUGUUUCUCGGCUUUGCAGGGUGCUGCUUUGACGUUCAACAGACGUGCAGGCUAG